Non-coding RNA from Schizosaccharomyces pombe (fission yeast), 526 nucleotides. Lineage: Eukaryota; Fungi; Ascomycota; Schizosaccharomycetes; Schizosaccharomycetales; Schizosaccharomycetaceae. The record is from the annotation of a GenBank genome assembly.
UAUGAAACUAUGAAUUGGUUUUUAUGAAAAGCUAGUUGAGCAAAAUUAGCGGUUUGGAUUCGACAUCUGAAUAGAAUUUUAGUUAAACUUGCUCCCACACUACUUAUGCCCAAAGUUUUACCGAAGUUGACAGUUUAAUCAACAAUUCCUGAAUUUGCUUAUACUUGGUGUAUCCUUUCUAAAAAAAAACUAGAAGAUUUUUGUUACUGUACUUGAAAAUACCUAUUAUAAUCUGUGGCUACAACAUCACAAGGUCAGAGUCUAUACCCAUUGUUCUUGGCUACAAAAGAUCAAGUCCAGAAGGAGCUAUCCAUAACCAAUAUUACAAGGCAUGCAAACAUAUUUUGAGAGUACAUCAUGACUUGUUAGGCAAGUAGUAAGAAAGACGGAUAUAAAAAAAUAGCCUACAGCACCCCGGAUUCCCAUGUUGUCUCCAACCAUAGUACUAACGAGGCCCUCAGACGCUUAACUGCAGUGAUCGGACGGGAACUGGUGUUUUCGCCUAGGUAUGGCCGUAGACAUUAAA